RNAcentral lists this ribosomal RNA (225 nucleotides) under uncultured bacterium. RNAcentral's name for it is "partial 16S ribosomal RNA". It matches the Rfam family "Bacterial small subunit ribosomal RNA", at positions 109 to 334 of the family's 1533-position model. The record is from RNAcentral.
AGUAACGCGUGAGGAACCUGCCUUGAAGAGGGGGACAACAGUUGGAAACGACUGCUAAUACCGCAUGAAGCAUAGGGGUCGCAUGAUCUUUAUGCCAAAGAUUUAUCGCUUCAAGAUGGCCUCGCGUCUGAUUAGCUAGUUGGCGGGGUAACGGCCCACCAAGGCGACGAUCAGUAGCCGGACUGAGAGGUUGAACGGCCACAUUGGGACUGAGAUACGGCCCAG